GAUUAUGGCUCAGAACGAACGCUGGCGGGCAGGCCUAACACAGUGCAAGUCGAGCGCGCCCUUCGGGGUGAGCGGCGGACGGGUUAGUAACGCGUGGGAACGUACCCUUUGGUAGGGAAUAGCCACUGGAAACGGUGAGUAAUACCCUAUGAGCCCUUCGGGGGAAAGAUUUAUCGCCAAAGGAUCGGCCCGCGUUAGAUUAGGUAGUUGGUGGGGUAAUGGCCUACCAAGCCUACGAUCUAUAGCUGGUUUUAGAGGAUGAUCAGCAACACUGGGACUGAGACACGGCCCAGACUCCUACGGGAGGCAGCAGUGGGGAAUCUUGGACAAUGGGGGCAACCCUGAAUCCAGCCAUGCCGCGUGAGUGAAGAAGGCCUUAGGGUCGUAAAGCUCUUUCGCCUGUGAAGAUAAUGACGGUAGCAAGGUAAAGAAACCCCGGCUAACUCCGUGCCAGCCGCCGC
This 461-nucleotide ribosomal RNA is filed under the name uncultured bacterium. Its description in RNAcentral is "bacterial SSU rRNA". It matches the Rfam family "Bacterial small subunit ribosomal RNA", at positions 15 to 518 of the family's 1533-position model. The record is from RNAcentral.